GGAUAGGUGGCAGAGUUGGUAAAUGCAACAGCUUUGAAUACUGUCGGUCAUGUGAAUGGCUUGUGAGUUCGAAUCUCACCCUAUCCG
Molecule: transfer RNA, 87 nt
Filed under: Caudoviricetes sp.
Lineage: Duplodnaviria; Heunggongvirae; Uroviricota; Caudoviricetes
Description: tRNA-Ser
Rfam family: tRNA
About the family: Transfer RNA (tRNA) molecules are approximately 80 nucleotides in length. Their secondary structure includes four short double-helical elements and three loops (D, anti-codon, and T loops).
Source: RNAcentral